AUGGCCGAAUGCUUCAAUAAGGUGCUCAAAGGUGCACGUGGAUUACCCGUGACGGCAAUAAUUCAAUACACAUUUGACAAGAUGAAUGCGUACUUUCUAAAGUACUCGAUGGAAACGGAUGCACAGAUAGCGGGUGAGAACAAGCGCAAGUACAAGUACAAGUUCCCACCCAAGGUUGAUGAAUGGUUGGAAUUUCAAUCACGGAAGGCGGACUUAGAAGAAGCUAUACUAUAUGACAACGAAGAGUGGAAGUACGAAGUGAAAGAGCUAGGAGGAACCACAAACGAUGGCCGCCAACAUGGAGGUCGGGCUUUCAAGGUGUCGUUAACACGUUGUGAUUGCUCUUGCGGGAGGCCAUUGUUGCUUCAUCUCCCAUGCUCACACUUGUAUACCGCCGGUCGCGUUAGGAAUGUGGACAUCAAUCACCCCCUCACCGUGAGGGAGUCGGAGUUCUCAAUCAUGACGUUCAAGAAAACAUGGGCUCCCCGCUUUUACCCAUACUUUGACCAAUCACAAUGGCCAGAGUACCAUGGAGUUCAACUAUGGCCGGAUCCG
This 555-nucleotide ribosomal RNA is filed under the name Triticum aestivum (bread wheat). RNAcentral's name for it is "partial small subunit ribosomal RNA". Lineage: Eukaryota; Viridiplantae; Streptophyta; Magnoliopsida; Poales; Poaceae. The record is from RNAcentral.